AGUUUUUGGAUAUUGUGAAUAAAGCUGCAACUUUCAAAGGACAUUUUUUUUGGUUUUUGUUUCUUUGUUUUGUUUUGUUUUGAGACAGAGUCUCACUCCAUCGCCCAGGCUGGAGUGCAGUAGCAUGAUCUCAGCUCACUGAAACCUCUGCCUCCUGGGAGUUCAAGUGAUUCUCCUGCCUCAGCCUCCCAAAUGCUGGGAUUACAGGCGCCCACCACCACACCCAGCUAAUUUCUGUAGUUUUAGGGCAGAUGGGGUUUCACCACUUUGGCCAGUCUGGUCUCGAACUCCUGACCUCAGGUGAUCUUCCCACCUCGGCCUCCCAAAGUGCUGGGAUACAGGUGUGAGCCACGGUGCCCAGCCAGGACACAUGUUUUCAUUUCUCUUGGGUUGCUGGGUUACAGAGUCGAUACAAUGUUUAGCUUCAGUAGACAUUGCCAAACAGUUUUCCAAAGAGUAUCCCCACCAGCAAUGAGUGAGAACUGCAGUUGCUCCACGUCCUUGUCAACACUUAGUAUUGCCAGUCUAAAAAGAAAAAUGUUAGCCAUUCUGGAGGGUGGCAGGAUUCAGGGUUGAAAGUUGACUGCCAACCACCCUGUACUCCUGUACCCUGUCCUCCAGGUCUGCCCAAGAUGGAGGUGUUUCAGGAAUACUACGGGCUUCCUCCACCCCCUGGAGCCAUUGGACCCUUCCUACGGCUCAACCCUGGAGACAUUGUGGAGCUCACGAAGGCUGAGGCUGAACAGAACUGGUGGGAGGGCAGGAAUACAUCUACUAAUGAAAUUGGCUGGUUUCCUUGU
RNAcentral lists this small RNA (800 nucleotides) under Pongo abelii (Sumatran orangutan). Its description in RNAcentral is "retained intron". Lineage: Eukaryota; Metazoa; Chordata; Mammalia; Primates; Hominidae. The record is from RNAcentral.